AUUGAACGCUGGCGGCAUGCCUUACACAUGCAAGUCGAACGGCAGCACGGGAGCAAUCCUGGUGGCGAGUGGCGAACGGGUGAGUAAAGUAUCGGAACGUGCCCAGUCGUGGGGGAUAACGUAGCGAAAGUUACGCUAAUACCGCAUACGAUCUAUGGAUGAAAGCGGGGGAUCGCAAGACCUUGCGCGAUUGGAGCGGCCGAUAUCAGAUUAGGGAGUUGGUGGGGUAAAGGCUCACCAAGCCGACGAUCUGUAGCUGGUCUGAGAGGACGACCAGCCACACUGGGACUGAGACACGGCCCAGACUCCUACGGGAGGCAGCAGUGGGGAAUUUUGGACAAUGGGCGCAAGCCUGAUCCAGCCAUGCCGCGUGCAGGAUGAAGGCCUUCGGGUUGUAAACUGCUUUUGUACGGAACGAAAAGGUUUGACUUAAUACGUUGGACUCAUGACGGUACCGUAAGAAUAGGCACCGGCUAACUACGUGCCAGCAGCCGCCGUAA
Molecule: ribosomal RNA, 500 nt
Filed under: uncultured bacterium
Lineage: Bacteria
Description: partial 16S ribosomal RNA
Rfam family: Bacterial small subunit ribosomal RNA
Source: RNAcentral